RNAcentral lists this long non-coding RNA (1447 nucleotides) under Vitis vinifera (wine grape). RNAcentral's name for it is "long non-coding RNA (VVIN_LNC003495)". The record is from RNAcentral. Lineage: Eukaryota; Viridiplantae; Streptophyta; Magnoliopsida; Vitales; Vitaceae.
UUUUUGUGGGAGCAAACAGCUUUACAUUCAACAUGUGUUCCCAAAAUGAAGAGAUAGAUUUAUUUUUACUUUACAAUAAGUUCCUAAGCUUACCACAUAAGUGACCUGAUGGGGGAAAGCCUUUUAAAGUUUAUUCAAGGAAGAAAGGGAAGACCUAAGUAAACUUUAAGUAGGAUUAAUAUUAAUUAGAAUUGAAUAGGGAUUGGUAUUUGUUGGAGUCUAAUUAGGAUUAGUUAGUUGAGUUAUAAUAUAAUUAGAAUUUGAGUCAUGAUAGGUUAUUAGAGUCCUAGUAGAAUAGGUUAUUAGAGUCCUAGUAGACUUUGGAUUUCUUAGAAAAGCCUAUAAAUAGGCUAAUCAAUGUAAAUCAAAGGAAUGAAUUUUGAUGAAUAAUAUUAUACUUUCUUUCAUUGCAAGGUUGCAACCCUUAAUGGUGAGACUCCAUUGAUUUUCUUCUAGGUGAGACUCCUAGAAGGCCUUAGUGAGACUCUAAGGUUUUCCAUCUUUUCUUCAUUGUUUUUUCUUUCUCUCUAUUUCUUAUCUUAUAAUUUUCUCUACCAUAAAGUUUAUUCCUUGUUUCUCUCCUUACACCCUAAAAAUAAAACCCUAGCCCACAUACCCUUGAGUGUAGGCAACCAUCCUAGGGUUGUCCUACAUCAUGACCUUUUCAUGUAACACUGUUGUGGAGAUCAAUCGUUUUACCACAGGGUUUACAAAACUUCAAAAAUUUAAACAUGUUCCAAUGCCCUGAUAUUUGGGGGUUGGAAAGAUUUGACACCUACAUGUGUGUACUCACACCUAAACACUGAGUGUCAGUUCAUGUAAUCUGGUUUGAAAAUUAACCUACAAAUACUCGUGAUUGUUUAGAACCAUUUGAGAAGCAGAUGUGAUUGUUUGUGAGCUGGCCAAUUCAACCCCCCAUUCCACUAGUUCUGAUGCAUACUGCACAAAAAGACUCUAGAUAAUGAAGCCUUGUCUAAGUCUCAAAAUUACCUUUUUCCCUUUUCUUCUCCAUGGUUGACUUUUGAAACUGAACCCAUUCAAUUGUUGUUCUCUUGCAGUUCUUAUCUUUUUGUUUUUCUUUACUUUUUCCCUUUCCUAUUGUUUCCAAACUUCUUUGUUUUUUGUCAUUGGUGGGGUAGUGCUAUAGUUUUACUCAAACUGAUAAAUCUGAAGAUGCCUUUUUUUUUUUUUUUUUUGAUAGGAAACAACACAUAUAUAUUUUGAUAGAAAAAGAAGUAUAAUAGAAGGAUAAGGAAUCCUCCCACCAAAGAUGAAACUAAACAACACAAAAAGAUAACAAGACACUACACUAUGUAAACUAUGAAUAAGCUCCCUUGACUAGACCGUCUCGUUGGAACUACACACUGCUAGCUAAUCUAGUUGUAACACGUUAAGGGGAAUGCCCUUAAAAACCGCGGAACAAAAAGCCCAAAGAGAAGCAAGGAAA